AAAAGGUCCGAAAAAUGUGAAAGGAAAAUGUUUGUUUAACGUUGAAAGCAGUGCCGCUAUUAAAAUGGCGAAGUACCCCUCUUUCCAAAACUAUGCAGUUAUCAACAAACGGUUUUCUGCAGAUCCGGAUGAUGACCUCUUCGAAUAAACACUGUCCCCCGCUUCGAUUACCAGUAUUUUCAGUUCGUUGCGGAACAGCUAAGGUAUUCCCGGGAAAAGUGGAUGCUGUUGAAUCAGUCCGGUGGAUGUCAAGGAUUCAACCGAUUCAACGCACAACGGCCUCGAAAUGGAAGUGAUCAUUCCGGUUCCAAUACAUCACAUACUUGACCUGUUCUUUCCGGAGCAGUACAUCUGUGUCUGGACAUAAUAGCAGCAGAUAUUAAGACAGCGAAUUGAUCGAUCCGGAUAACGUGUUUUGGUUUUCGAACUACCUUGUGAUCGACUAAACGGAACACAGGACAGAAGAGGACUUCCAAUAAUAUAUAUUACAAUAAGUUGGUACGGAGUAUAAGAAUGCUUAUCAGCAUACGAGUCAGUUUAGGAACUGUUUUUGGAAGUACGCAGGUUUUAUAAAUACAGAACCGAGCACAGAUAAAGUAUUUAAUCCAUGAAAAAAGCUUAUUCUCUCAUAUAGACGUCGAGAGAAAAAA
RNAcentral lists this long non-coding RNA (650 nucleotides) under Aedes aegypti (yellow fever mosquito). RNAcentral's name for it is "lncRNA AAEL022862". Lineage: Eukaryota; Metazoa; Arthropoda; Insecta; Diptera; Culicidae. The record is from RNAcentral.